UAUUAAAAAAGAUAACAGAUCCAAUGAUUAUUAUAAUUAGUUAGAUUGAUGGCCGGAUGUUUCUGAUUUUUGUGAGAAUUUAUAGAAUUUCUCUAUUUUUUUAGUGUCUACCUAGGAUCCUAGGUCACUUCAUGUGGAGGCUCCAAAUAAGCUUCCAAUUAGUGAUAGUAAGAUUUUGUGUAAGAAGUAAAUGCAAAAAUCGAAAAUGCCAGUGCCUGCAUCUUACUAUUACAGGUGAACUGGUCCUUGCUGUAUCAACGAUGUUACUUGUUGUCAUCGCCACUGCCCUUUUCCAAUUUAUCGACUUGAGAGAGUCCCAAGGCCGUGCAAUACUGUCCUUGGUGAUAGCGGCCGUGAAGCAAUAGUUGCCACCUUGUGCAUCAUUUGCAUGACACUUAUCACCCUGAUGCUGGUGUUCUGAAACGGCUCAAGUUGUCAAAGCUCUGCUUCUUGCUCUCAUUGCAAUUGCAAGGCUUGUAGGAGAAGUGCAUGAGCGUGCAGAGAUGCGCUAAAAGUAACAGAGCCUUUUUAUUUCGUGAUAGAAGGGAGGGAAUACUGUAAUUCAAGAUCCUGGCACCAACUGAAUAUGGGAUCCUAUCAUUACUGAUUUGCAGCUUUCCUUUCCCAGUCGCAGCUGACUGUGAACCUGUGAUUAAUCUACUGACAGAGAGCUUUGAUAUGUGAAGUGGUUGGCUAAAAGUUUGUUGAGAGUCAUGAGACAAGAGUCAAGAUACGAUAUUACAGUGCAGACUAGUAGCUCUUUGGUGAGUUUACUAUGAAUUUUUCUGAUAAGUAAUUGUGAUCCUAGAUUUCUAUGAA
This is a long non-coding RNA of Panicum virgatum (switchgrass), 819 nucleotides long. RefSeq lists it as uncharacterized. The record is from RefSeq and is a predicted model, not a curated record. The transcript has 2 exons. NCBI's taxonomy places the organism in Eukaryota, Viridiplantae, Streptophyta, Magnoliopsida, Poales, Poaceae.